Molecule: ribosomal RNA, 428 nt
Filed under: uncultured bacterium
Lineage: Bacteria
Description: bacterial SSU rRNA
Rfam family: Bacterial small subunit ribosomal RNA
Source: RNAcentral
UGGGGAAUAUUGGACAAUGGGCGCAAGCCUGAUCCAGCAAUGCCGCGUGGGUGAAGAAGGCCUUCGGGUUGUAAAGCCCUUUUGUACGGGAAGAAAUCCUGUCGGUUAAUACCCGGCGGGGAUGACGGUACCGUAAGAAUAAGCACCGGCUAACUUCGUGCCAGCAGCCGCGGUAAUACGAAGGGUGCAAGCGUUAAUCGGAAUUACUGGGCGUAAAGCGUGCGUAGGCGGUUGGCUAAGUCAGAUGUGAAAGCCCUGGGCUCAACCUGGGAAUGGCAUUUGAAACUGGCCGGCUAGAGUGUGAUAGAGGAUGGCGGAAUUCCCGGUGUAGCGGUGAAAUGCGUAGAGAUCGGGAGGAACAUCCGUGGCGAAGGCGGCCAUCUGGAUCAACACUGACGCUGAGGCACGAAAGCGUGGGGAGCAAACAG